GACGAACGCUGGCGGCGUGCUUAACACAUGCAAGUCGAACGGAAAGGCCCUGCUUGCAGGGUACUCGAGUGGCGAACGGGUGAGUAACACGUGGGUGAUCUGCCCUGCACUUCGGGAUAAGCUUGGGAAACUGGGUCUAAUACCGGAUAGGACCGCACUUUAGUGUGUGUGGUGGAAAGUUUUUUCGGUGUAGGAUGAGCUCGCGGCCUAUCAGCUUGUUGGUGGGGUAAUGGCCUACCAAGGCGGCGACGGGUAGCCGGCCUGAGAGGGUGUACGGCCACAUUGGGACUGGGAUACGGCCCAGACUCCUACGGGAGGCAGCAGUGGGGAAUAUUGCACAAUGGGCGCAAGCCUGAUGCAGCGACGCCGCGUGGGGGAUGAAGGCCUUCGGGUUGUAAACUCCUUUCGCUAGGGACGAAGCUUUUUGUGACGGUACCUAGAUAAGAAGCACCGGCUAACUACGUG
Molecule: ribosomal RNA, 465 nt
Filed under: uncultured bacterium
Lineage: Bacteria
Description: partial 16S ribosomal RNA
Rfam family: Bacterial small subunit ribosomal RNA
Source: RNAcentral